AAAAAUUUGGCGGUAUUUUAGUCUAUUCAGAGGAACCUGUUCUAUAAUCGAUAAUCCACGAUGGACCUUACUUAAAUUUGUAAUCAGUUUAUAUACCGUCGUUAUUAGAAUAUUUUAUAAGAAUGUUAAUUUUCAUAAUUUUUUAUUAGAAUGUAUAUCAGAUCAAGGUGUAGCUUAUAUUUAAGUAGAAAUGGGUUACAAUAAAUUUAUUUAUAUGGAUAUAAAUUUGAAAAGUUUAUUGAAGGUGGAUUUGAAAGUAAAAUUAUAUAGAUAAAUAAUUUGAUUUUAGCUCUAAAAUAUGCACACAUUGCCCGUCACUCUUAUUAUUAAGGUAAGAUAAGUCGUAACAUAGUAGAUGUACUGGAAAGUGUAUCUAGAAUGCAAUUUAAAGCUUAUUUAGUAAAGUAUUUCAUUUACAUUGAAAGGAUUUUUGUGCAAAUCAAUAUAAAUUGAUUAAAUUUUAUUUAUUAAAUUUAUUCUUUUUUAUUUUAAUUUAUUAAAAGUAAUUAUAAAAGUAACUUGUUUUAGUAUUUUAUUAAAAAAAAUAAUUAUAAUAAUAGUGUAAUAGUAUUGUGAAAGAAAAUUGAAAUAAUUUGAAAAAUU
RNAcentral lists this ribosomal RNA (603 nucleotides) under Pollenia rudis. Its description in RNAcentral is "partial 12S ribosomal RNA". The stretch from base 382 to 453 matches the Rfam family "tRNA". The record is from RNAcentral. Lineage: Eukaryota; Metazoa; Arthropoda; Insecta; Diptera; Polleniidae.